This 253-nucleotide ribosomal RNA is filed under the name uncultured prokaryote. RNAcentral's name for it is "partial 16S ribosomal RNA". It matches the Rfam family "Bacterial small subunit ribosomal RNA", at positions 524 to 776 of the family's 1533-position model. The record is from RNAcentral.
UACGGGGGGAGCUAGCGUUGUUCGGAAUUACUGGGCGUAAAGGGCGUGUAGGCGGUACCAUAAGUCAGAUGUGAAAGCCCUAGGCUUAACCUAGGAGGUGCAUUUGAUACUGUGGAACUAGAGAUCGAGAGAGGAAAGUGGAAUUACGAGUGUAGAGGUGAAAUUCGUAGAUAUUCGUAAGAACACCAGUGGCGAAGGCGACUUUCUGGCUCGAUACUGACGCUAAGGCGCGAAAGCGUGGGGAGCAAACAGG